This 278-nucleotide long non-coding RNA is filed under the name Gossypium raimondii (Peruvian cotton). RNAcentral describes it as "long non-coding RNA (GRAI_LNC010526)". The record is from RNAcentral. Lineage: Eukaryota; Viridiplantae; Streptophyta; Magnoliopsida; Malvales; Malvaceae.
GCAGAUCGCAUCAAGUCUUAUCUCCCUAAGCAGUAGUAGAGCAGACAGAAGAAACCAAUCCUAUCUCCCUAAAGUUACAGUGGAGCGGAUUAAAACCACAGAUCUUAUCUCCUUAAGCAGUAGUAGAGCAGAUCGCAUCAAGUCUUAUCUCCCUAAGCAGUAGCGGAGCAGACAGAAAAAACACAAACAUCGUCCCCCUGAAGUUGCUACGAAGAGGAUUGAAGCUACAAGUUAGAACUCUCUGAAGUGCAGUGGAGUGGAUCGAAGCAACAAGACAC